Molecule: transfer RNA, 82 nt
Filed under: Echinostoma caproni
Lineage: Eukaryota; Metazoa; Platyhelminthes; Trematoda; Plagiorchiida; Echinostomatidae
Rfam family: tRNA
About the family: Transfer RNA (tRNA) molecules are approximately 80 nucleotides in length. Their secondary structure includes four short double-helical elements and three loops (D, anti-codon, and T loops). Further hydrogen bonds mediate the characteristic L-shaped molecular structure. tRNAs have two regions of fundamental functional importance: the anti-codon, which is responsible for specific mRNA codon recognition, and the 3' end, to which the tRNAs corresponding amino acid is attached (by aminoacyl-tRNA synthetases). tRNAs cope with the degeneracy of the genetic code in two manners: having more than one tRNA (with a specific anti-codon) for a particular amino acid; and 'wobble' base-pairing, i.e. permitting non-standard base-pairing at the 3rd anti-codon position.
Source: Rfam by way of RNAcentral
GGCCUCGUAGCUCAGCUGGUAGAGCAUGCGCGUACAAAGCGUAGGCGGCGUCCAUGCGUGGGCUCAAAUCCCACCGAGGCUA